Long non-coding RNA from Camelina sativa (false flax), 558 nucleotides. RefSeq lists it as uncharacterized. The record is from RefSeq and is a predicted model, not a curated record. Lineage: Eukaryota; Viridiplantae; Streptophyta; Magnoliopsida; Brassicales; Brassicaceae.
AAAUUUGCUACAAAAUUUCUCCAAAACAUAAAAUCGUAGGAAAAUUCAUAGGAAACUAGAAGUAACUAAAUAGGAAACGAAGCCUAAGGAAUUUGGUAGGAAAAUUUCUUUCUAAUUUCCUACGAAAAUUGCACCGAAGCAAUUUCGUAGGAAACUCGUAGAAAACAUUUCCUUCCAAAUUCCUUCGAAAUUUAUUUCCUACCAAUUGAAUGAAUGUUUUCCACCAAUUUUCUACCAAAUGUUUUAUGUUUAGGGAACAAAUAAAUAACAAUUAAUACUGCCAAAAAAAAAGAGACGGUGAGAUAAAAAAAAAAUCAGAAGGACAAAGAUCUCAUCCCUUCGUUUUCUUGGGAAUCAAAGAAGCGUAAGAAAAAAAAAAUCUCAGAUGCAAAGCCAUCACAAUAGAAGCAGAAGCACAGGCUCAGCUUCACGCCUUCACCACUCUUCUUCUUCGUCUUCGCUGCCGUCCCUAUUCCAAUCUACUUUUCUGGUUUACUCGGCGAGAUCUCUUCGUUUCAGUUAUGAUCUCGCCGUCAUUAACACACGCCCGUGCUUAGA